UACGAAGGGGGCUAGCGUUGCUCGGAAUCACUGGGCGUAAAGGGUGCGUAGGCGGGUCUUUAAGUCAGAGGUGAAAUCCUGGAGCUCAACUCCAGAACUGCCUUUGAUACUGAAGGUCUUGAGUAUGGCAGAGGUGAGUGGAACUGCGAGUGUAGAGGUGAAAUUCGUAGAUAUUCGCAAGAACACCAGUGGCGAAGGCGGCUCACUGGGCCAUUACUGACGCUGAGGCACGAAAGCGUGGGGAGCAAACAGG
RNAcentral lists this ribosomal RNA (253 nucleotides) under uncultured bacterium. Its description in RNAcentral is "partial 16S ribosomal RNA". It matches the Rfam family "Bacterial small subunit ribosomal RNA", at positions 524 to 776 of the family's 1533-position model. The record is from RNAcentral.